CUUAUCAAGAGAGGUGGAGGGACCGGCCCUGUGAAGCCCGACAACCUGCAGUUACUGCAAGGUGCCAAUUCCGGCGAAGCGAAUCGAAAGAUGAGG
RNAcentral lists this non-coding RNA (96 nucleotides) under bovine gut metagenome. Its description in RNAcentral is "SAM riboswitch (S box leader)". It matches the Rfam family "SAM riboswitch aptamer (S box leader)". Rfam says of the family: The SAM riboswitch is found upstream of a number of genes which code for proteins involved in methionine or cysteine biosynthesis in Gram-positive bacteria. The SAM riboswitch acts at the level of transcription termination control. The predicted structure consists of a complex stem-loop region followed by a single stem loop terminator region. The record is from RNAcentral.